This 2868-nucleotide long non-coding RNA is filed under the name Salmo salar (Atlantic salmon). Its description in RNAcentral is "lncRNA (ENSSSAG00000088916.1, ENSSSAG00000110194.1)". The record is from RNAcentral. Lineage: Eukaryota; Metazoa; Chordata; Actinopteri; Salmoniformes; Salmonidae.
UGGUAAUGGGAUGGUGUAGUGUAUAAUCCCGCUGCAGAUUUCUAUUCCAAGAGAAGACGUAAUUUAUACCUUGUCUAAUUAGUAAAGAUAUUGCCAUUGUGAGAGUAUGAGAAUUAGUUGUGAUAGAUCAAAUGCCUGCUACUCAUGUGAGUUUAUGGCUGUAAUACUUUCAUGCGUUGUCUACUUAAAACAGGUUUAGCUCUAGGAUUCCCUUUGACUGCCUUGUUACAGAAUGUCAGAGCGAAAUUGUCCUACCUCUCAACUGGUGAUUGUUCUGUAUGGUAACAUGAGCAGUGUGGCCUGACUUCCCCCUUAUUACAGAUGUCCGGUAUAGAUAUGUUGAGCAUCCUGCUAUGAUGUCUAUCACCAAGCUGGAACACUCAGAGGCCAACCCUCAGAGCCAGACUUGCAGUUGUCCGGUGUCUUAGCCUGAGAUGUCUGCUGGCUCAGCUGGGUCUUUGGGAUUGGAAAGGUUAAUGAGGAGGUUCAUCUACCUGAGGAUAGAGGCAUAUCUGUCUGGAAGCUGUUAUUAAUAUUAUUUAUAGAAACAAUUGAGUGGAAUAAUAUUUUUAUCUGCGGCUUGAUUUACAUUGUUAUUGUCUUCUUCCUUAGAUUGACCGGGAUCCAACUCUGCACAGAUGGGUCGACAAAACUGAGCCCAUGUCUGACGUAUACACUUAAAUUCAAUUCAAUUUAAAGCAGUGAAAGACUGUUGUAUUUCAACUGUGAGAAUGGUCCAAAUCAUUUAAAAACAAGCUUGCACCACCACCUCCACCGAUGAGGAUGUAUGGAUAUCAGGGGAACUCUGGUAGUCUCCCCAAAGGAAUGAAUCCUUACUAUAUGAAAGGUGAAUAAUGCUUUAUCUCCAAGACUGUACCAAAGCUGCAUAUCUGGACCCUGCUUGCACUUGCUAUAGCUUACAUUAUGGCAAUUAAGGUCAAAGUGAUUAAACUGCUAAGUACUUUUUGUGGGAUAGGAAAAAACCCAGGAUUAAUAUGAAGAAGAUGUGCUCACCAAGGGAUGUAGGAGGCUUGGCUUUACCAGAUGUUAAAUUGUCCAAUUUACCAUUUGAAAUGGCUAAAUUGGUGAAGCAAUGGGGCAAAAUGGGUGCUGGCUUGGAUUGGAUAACAAUAGAACGGGAACUAAGUUAUCCUUCCACCCCUGUUGAUACUCUGUUACAUAGUCUUUACAGGGGAGAGGUCUGUUGAUACUCUGGUACAUAGUCUUUACAGGGGAGAGGUCUGUUGAUACUCUGUUACAUAGUCUAACAGGGGAGAGGUCUGUUGAUACUCUGUUACAUAGUCUUUACAGGGGAGAGGUCUGUUGAUACUCUGUUACAUAGUCUAACAGGGGAGAGGUCUGUUGAUACUCUGUUACAUAGUCUUCCAGGGGAGAGGUCUGUUGAUACUCUGUUACAUAGUCUUACAGGGGAGAGGUCUGUUGAUACUCUGUUACAUAGUCUUACAGGGGAGAGGUCUGUUGAUACUCUGUUACAUAGUCUUUACAGGGGAGAGGUCUGUUGAUACUCUGGUACAUAGUCUUACAGGGGAGAGGUCUGUUGAUACUCUGUUACAUAGUCUAACAGGGGAGAGGUCUGUUGAUACUCUGUUACAUAGUCUAACAGGGGAGAGGUCUGUUGAUACUCUGUUACAUAGUCUAACAGGGGAGAGGUCUGUUGAUACUCUGUUACAUAGUCUUACAGGGGAGAGGUCUGUUGAUACUCUGUUACAUAGUCUUUACAGGGGAGAGGUCUGUUGAUACUCUGUUACAUAGUCUAACAGGGGAGAGGUCUGUUGAUACUCUGUUACAUAGUCUUACAGGGGAGAGGUCUGUUGAUACUCUGUUAUAUGUGGAUUUUCACAUCUUAAACAAGGACACUCAUCGUGGCACAAUCCUAGGCUACAGAUAGGAAAGAAGUCUGUGUACUGGAAACAGUGGCUAUUGAAAGGAAUUCAUACUAUAGGUGAUCUGUACAAUGAAGUUUUAAUGUCAUUACUCAUAUGCUACAAAAUAUGAUGUGGGAGACAAGGGACAUUUCUGGAAAUAUUUAUUAACCGGCUAUCAACAAAAUCCAGCAAAUAACCCAAUAGCUGAGUAUUUGGAAUUGCCCAAACAAUAAGCAGUCAUAUUUUACUCAAUAUUUAGUCAUCUGCAGAGUAAAGACUGUAAAAACCUCAGAACAAUAUGGCAAAUUGACCUUAAGUGUGAAAUUGAGGAUGAUACCUGGUUGAAGAUCUUGUCCAGCUCAGGGAGGAACAUAAGGGAAGCCAGGGGGAAACUUACUCAAUAGAAGAUACUACAUAGGUCUUAUUGGACCCCAACAAGGCUUCAUCAGAUGUGGCUGACAAACAGUUCUCUGUGUUGGACAUGCCAAAAAGACACUGGGACAUUUGUACACGCAAUAUGGUAAUGUACAUUACUGCUACCUUUCUGGAAGGAUGUUUUGAAAUGUCUGGAGGAAUGGUUGGGCUUAACAAUUCCAAUUUCACCGAGAAUAUCUCUUGGGCGAUAGAACAGAGUUACCUAAUGUAACAAAGUAGGAAUUUGCACUGAUGACUGUUGGUAUGGUUACCGCAGCUAGAGUAAUCCUUAGAUUUUAGAAGGGUCAUUCCACUCCUACUCUGAAACAGUGAAUAUAGUCAAUGUUGGAGGUACAGUUGAAGUCGGAAGUUUACAUACACCUUAGCCAAAUACAUUUAAACUCAGUUUUUCACAAUUCCUGACAUUUAAUCCUAGUAAAAACGCCCUGUCUUAGGUCAGUUAGGAUCACCACUAUUUUAAGAAUGUGAAAUGUCAGAAUAAUAGUAGAGAGUGAUUUAUUUCAGCUUUCAUUUCUUUCAUCACAUUCCCAGUGGGUCAGAAGUUUAC